CAGGCGUCACACAUGCAAGUCGAGCGCGUAGCAAUACGAGCGGCAGAACGGUGAGUAACGCGUGGGAAUAUACAUAGCUAUACGGAAUAACAUCAGGGAGACUUGGAUUAAUACCGUAUACGCCCUUUGGGGGAAAGAUUUAUCGGAGUUGGAUGAGCCCGCGUUGGAUUAGCUAGUUGGUGGGGUAAUGGCCUACCAAGGCGACGAUCCAUAGCUGGUAUGAGAGGAUGAUCAGCCACACUGGGACUGAGACACGGCCCAGACUCGUACGGGAGGCAGCAGUGGGGAAUAUUGGACAAUGGGCGCAAGCCUGAUCCAGCCAUGCCGCGUGAGUGAUGAAGGCCCUAGGGUUGUAAAGCUCUUUCACCGGUGUAGAUAAUGACGGUAACCGGAGAAGAAGCCCCGGCUAACUUCGUGCCAGCAGCCGCGGU
This 431-nucleotide ribosomal RNA is filed under the name uncultured bacterium. RNAcentral describes it as "bacterial SSU rRNA". It matches the Rfam family "Bacterial small subunit ribosomal RNA", at positions 43 to 521 of the family's 1533-position model. The record is from RNAcentral.